Molecule: long non-coding RNA, 410 nt
Organism: Piliocolobus tephrosceles (Ugandan red Colobus)
Lineage: Eukaryota; Metazoa; Chordata; Mammalia; Primates; Cercopithecidae
Exons: 3
Source: RefSeq, a predicted model, not a curated record
GGGCCUGACCCCAGAAGCUGAGGCACAAAGAAGAUAACAGACUUAAUCAAGAUCACCCAGCCCAUGAGGAGAAUGAGCCUCAGAAUGGCCACACGACUUACCUAAGCCCCAACAGCCAAUAAGAGCUGAAGCCAGUAUUUGAAAUCAGGCAGCUGGACUCCAGAGCUUGCCUUCUUAACUACUGCACAAAACUAGCUCUUAGGGCAAGGAUGUGGUGGUGAUGCCAACAGAGGUGAUAGGCAUGGAGAUGUACAUCAAGGAAACCCUCCGGGAGGAGGCUCCAUGUUAGGUGCUGGAGAUACAGCGAUGAACAAGAUAUUCAAGGUACCUGACUACCUGGAGUUUACAGUCUAAUUGAAGGACACAGGAAGGAAGCUGUACUGACCAUUUAUCUUUCACUGCUGCUCAAC